Molecule: transfer RNA, 76 nt
Filed under: Methanobacteriota archaeon
Lineage: Archaea; Methanobacteriati; Methanobacteriota
Description: Euryarchaeota archaeon (anaerobic digester metagenome) tRNA-Pro
Source: RNAcentral
GGGUCUGUGGGGUAGCUUGGUAUCCUUCCAGCUUGGGGUGCUGGUGACUCCGAUUCAAAUUCGGGCAGACCCACCA